Long non-coding RNA from Seriola aureovittata, 1007 nucleotides. RefSeq lists it as uncharacterized. The record is from RefSeq and is a predicted model, not a curated record. The transcript is spliced from 3 exons. NCBI's taxonomy places the organism in Eukaryota, Metazoa, Chordata, Actinopteri, Carangiformes, Carangidae.
CGAUGGAUGCGCCGUUGGCGGUGACAUCGAAAUAGACUCUGGGGUUGGACAUUUCAGCAGGCGGAACUAUACAGGGUAGACUGAAGAGUUCUCCGGCGAAGGAACACUGUGGGCCGCAAGGAACCGAAAAAGAUGGAGGUUUCCACACGGAAACGUUUAGAGAGCAGAUCCCGACGGAGAGCUGGUGGGCGAAGGUGGGGGUGUGGUAUCGACCGGCGACCUUUAAUGACCUUUGAUGCCCUACGGUUGAUGCUCACAGAGAGGAGGUGGUGCACGCUGGCAUCAUGAAGAGCGAUUCAACCCCCCCUCACCUCCCGACCUCCUGAAGAAGAACCAAGUUGGUUUGUCAGGAUGUCAGCUGAUCGUGAUGAAGACGUGAUGACUGAAGGUCCUGGAGAUGAUCCCAGCUGUCUCACCUGGACAGGUAUCCAGCUCCAGAGGUCGUAGUUUUCGGUGCUGUUGAACUGGAGUGUGAAACAAUGGGAUGUUACAAGCUCUCUGAUUGGUUGGAGAGCUAACCAGUCAUUUCUGGUUUUACCUGCACCGACGCUCCGGUCAGAGAGAGGCUGACAGGAGGAGCAGCUGGAAAAAGGGAAUGAAAGUUGAAUCCAGGAACGUAUUCUCGUUUUUAAAAUAUCUUUUCAAAUAGCUUUUCAAAUUCUAUUAUUUAUUUGUGAAUGAAUAAAUAUAUUUAUAAAUGUAUAUUUAAUGAGUUUUAUGCUGUUUUUGUAAAUCCAUUUUUAAAUCUUUAGUAUCUAUUGAUGAUUAAUAACUUUUAAUCACACACAAUUUCAUAUUAAUUAUUUAUGCUUCAUUUUGUAGACGAGCAUCAUUCAGACAGUAUUCUAGUUUUACUGCUGAUUAUUUGAACUUGAUUGAAUUAAUAAAUUGUUUGGUUUAUAAAAAUCGCACAAAAGAUAAAAAUAUAAAGUUUGAUCUGUUGUUUGUUUCUGUCUCAUCUGACUCCGUUAGUUCAUGUGUUUAUUAAAGCACCACAGACUCUCCUC